RNAcentral lists this unclassified non-coding RNA (305 nucleotides) under plant metagenome. RNAcentral describes it as "partial contains 5.8S ribosomal RNA, internal transcribed spacer 2, and large subunit ribosomal RNA". The stretch from base 1 to 104 matches the Rfam family "5.8S ribosomal RNA", at positions 51 to 154 of the family's 154-position model. The record is from RNAcentral.
AAAUGCGAUAAGUAGUGUGAAUUGCAGAAUUCAGUGAAUCAUCGAAUCUUUGAACGCACAUUGCGCCCCUUGGUAUUCUAUGGGGCAUGCCUGUUCGAGCGUCAUCUACACCCUCAAGCUCUGCUUGGUGUUGGGCGUCUUUGUCCCGCCUCCGCGCGCGGACUCGCCCCAAAUUCAUUGGCAGCGGUCCUUGCCUCCUCUCGCGCAGCACAUUGCGCUUCUCGAGGUGUUGCGGCCCGCGUCCAGAAAGCAAUCGUUACCGUCUUUGACCUCGGAUCAGGUAGGGAUACCCGCUGAACUUAAGC